UGCUCCAUCAGACUUUCGUCCAUUGUGGAAGAUUUCCUACGGGGGGCAGCAGUAGGGAAUCUUCCACAAUGGACGAAAGUCUGAUGGAGCAACGCCGCGUGAGCGAUGAAGGCCUUCGGGUCGUAAAGCUCUGUUGUUAGGGAAGAACAAGUACCGGAGUAACUGCCGGUACCUUGACGGUACCUAACCAGAAAGCCACGGCUAACUACGUGCCAGCAGCCGCGGUAAUACGUAGGUGGCAAGCGUUGUCCGGAAUUAUUGGGCGUAAAGCGCGCGCAGGCGGUCCUUUAAGUCUGAUGUGAAAGCCCACGGCUCAACCGUGGAGGGUCAUUGGAAACUGGGGGACUUGAGUGCAGAAGAGGAAAGCGGAAUUCCACGUGUAGCGGUGAAAUGCGUAGAGAUGUGGAGGAACACCAGUGGCGAAGGCGGCUUUCUGGUCUGUAACUGACGCUGAGGCGCGAAAG
RNAcentral lists this ribosomal RNA (464 nucleotides) under Neobacillus cucumis. RNAcentral's name for it is "bacterial SSU rRNA". It matches the Rfam family "Bacterial small subunit ribosomal RNA", at positions 301 to 759 of the family's 1533-position model. Lineage: Bacteria; Bacillati; Bacillota; Bacilli; Caryophanales; Bacillaceae. The record is from RNAcentral.